CACGUAGGGCGCAAGCGUUGUCCGGAAUUAUUGGGCGUAAAGAGCUCGUAGGCGGUCUGUUGCGUCCGCUGUGAAAACUCGGGGCUUAACCCCGAGCCUGCAGUGGAUACGGGCAGACUAGAGGUAGGUAGGGGAGAAUGGAAUUCCCGGUGUAGCGGUGAAAUGCGCAGAUAUCAGGAGGAACACCGGUGGCGAAGGCGGGUCUCUGGGCCGAUACUGACGCUGAGAAGCGAAAGCAUGGGGAGCGAACAGG
This 253-nucleotide ribosomal RNA is filed under the name uncultured bacterium. RNAcentral's name for it is "partial 16S ribosomal RNA". It matches the Rfam family "Bacterial small subunit ribosomal RNA", at positions 524 to 776 of the family's 1533-position model. The record is from RNAcentral.